Molecule: ribosomal RNA, 490 nt
Filed under: uncultured bacterium
Lineage: Bacteria
Description: partial 16S ribosomal RNA
Rfam family: Bacterial small subunit ribosomal RNA
Source: RNAcentral
AUUGAACGCUGGCGGCAGGCCUAACACAUGCAAGUCGAAUGGUAACAGGAAACAGCUUGCUGUUUCGCUGACGAGUGGCGGACGGGUGAGUAAUGUCUGGGAAACUGCCUGAUGGAGGGGGAUAACCACUGGAAACGGUAGCUAAUACCGCAUAACGUCGCAAGACCAAAGAGGGGGACCUUCGGGCCUCUUGCCAUCAGAUGUGCCCAGAUGGGAUUAGCUAGUAGGUGGGGUAACGGCUCACCUAGGCGACGAUCCCUAGCUGGUCUGAGAGGAUGACCAGCCACACUGGAACUGAGACACGGUCCAGACUCCUACGGGAGGCAGCAGUGGGGAAUAUUGCACAAUGGGCGCAAGCCUGAUGCAGCCAUGCCGCGUGUAUGAAGAAGGCCUUCGGGUUGUAAAGUACUUUCAGCGGGGAGGAAGGGAGUAAAGUUAAUACCUUUGCUCAUUGACGUUACCCGCAGAAGAAGCACCGGCUAACUCCGUG